AGAUUGAACGCUGGCGGCAGGCCUAACACAUGCAAGUCGAGCGGUAGAGAGGUGCUUGCAUCUCUUGAGAGCGGCGGACGGGUGAGUAAUGCCUAGGAAUCUGCCUAGUGGUGGGGGAUAACGUUCGGAAACGGACGCUAAUACCGCAUACGUCCUACGGGAGAAAGCGGGGGACCUUCGGGCCUCGCGCCAUUAGAUGAGCCUAGGUCGGAUUAGCUAGUUGGUGAGGUAAUGGCUCACCAAGGCGACGAUCCGUAACUGGUCUGAGAGGAUGAUCAGUCACACUGGAACUGAGACACGGUCCAGACUCCUACGGGAGGCAGCAGUGGGGGAAUAUUGGACAAUGGGGCGAAAGCCUGAUCCAGCAAUGCCGCGUGAGUGAUGAAGGCCUUAGGGUUGUAAAGCUCUUUACCCGAGAUGA
This 421-nucleotide ribosomal RNA is filed under the name uncultured soil bacterium. Its description in RNAcentral is "bacterial SSU rRNA". It matches the Rfam family "Bacterial small subunit ribosomal RNA", at positions 26 to 448 of the family's 1533-position model. The record is from RNAcentral.